AUUCAAUGUAAUUAAUAAUGUGUAAUUUAGAGAAUUUUUUAAAAUUUAUUUUUCGAAUAGGUUUGGACAGAUACCUAGAAUGCAGGUGUUUUUCUUUGAUGUAGCUUCAAUGUUGGGAUUUUUUUUAAGGUGAAAACAAACAUCAACAAGAAAAACAACAAAUGAAAAGCACUGUGUCCAGAUGCAAUUUCGCACUAUUUUGUUAUGUUUUCACCACAUCAGAUGUGGUAGAUUUGGAAAGAAAAAAAUGUGACUUCUCGUCUGAUCGUUAAAAAUUUUUAUUCUUAGAGUCAAGAUCUCGCUCUGUCACCCAGGCUGGAGUGCAGUGGUGGGAUCAUAGCUCACUGCCACCUUGAAUUCCUGAACUCAAGCGAUCCUCCCACUUUAGCCUCCUGAGUAGCUGGGACUACAGGUGCACACCAACACUAUGCCUGGAUAAUUAAAAAAAAAAUUGUAGACACGGAAGUCUUGCUGUGUUGCUCAGGCUGGUGUUGAACUUCUGAUCUCAAGUGAUCCUCCUGUCCUGGAAUUCCAAAAUGUUUCUCAUCAUGAGAGAAUCUUGCUUGUAUGGUAGUCAUGGACUGUGGUCUCUGCGAUCUUCCUCCAAAAAAGGAGUUGUCAUUUCACUUCAAGGAGGGCAGUUAGCUGACAGCUUGUAAUACGGCACCUUCAGGAUCAACUGCAGCUUUUGAGCUGAGUUCAUGCUCCUUUCACACAGGACUAUGCAGUGCCUGAGCGUGGCAGAGGCACUAGGGCCUGGUGUUUUCUGCCCAAGGCUGGGCCCUCUAAUGGGCACUUUUUGCACUGGAGCUCCCUGUUGGCUUGGCUAUAGCUUGUCAGAUCUACAUUGCAGUAGGAGGGUCUCCUUGCCAAAUUCUGCUUUUCCCUUUUUUUUUGAGGUGGAGACUCACUCUGUCCCCCAGGCUGGAGUGCAGUGGCACCUGCAAUCCCAGCACUUUGGGAGUCCAAGGCAGGUAAAUCACCUGAGGUCAGGAGUUUGAGACUAGCCUGGCCAACAUGGUGAAACCCAGUCUCUACUAAAAAUACAAAAAUUAGCCGGGCAUGGUGGUGCGUGCCUGUAAUCCCAGUUACUCAGGAGGCUGAGGCAGGAGAAUCGCUUGCUCUUUUUUUUCCUUUUGUCUUUCACAGGCAUUAGCCCCCCUCCAGUGAGCCUCCCUCAUGCACCCUGCAGAUUCUGGGCUCCCUCCAAUUCCUCAAAGCCUCAAGAGGUGGAUCCCUCCUUUCUACGGAGAGCCAGCUUUCCCACUGCAUGGGGAGGCACUGCAGAGUUCUCAAUCUUGCAACAAUCACAGAGCCCACCUCUGGAGGUGCCCCACCUUUUCUCCUGGCUACGAAGCCAAAACUAAAGUUAAGUCACAGCUUACUUGAGAUGUGCUAAGCCUGUUGAAGAUGAUAUGCCAAGGAGCCUGUAAGAAAACCAUUUGUGCUGGAGGAAACCAUGGCAGUUCCCAUGGACUGGAUUUUGAGGGUGCCUGAUUAAGGUGUCCAGACAUAAGAUGGGGAUGCUCUCAAUAUAUGGGAUUUAACACCAGGGAAGAACAAAAACUUCUUGAGAGAAUGGCUCCUAGAAGUCUGGAAAACAAGCUGGCCCCCAUGCUGGGUGAAGAUCCAAAGUUCAAUGGCUAUGGCAGAUGGUAGAAGAAAGGACUAAAAGGCUCAGCACAGAGGCUAUGCUGGAGAGGGUGUAAGAUUUGAGGCCAGGGGACCCACCAGAAGAUUAUGUUCCUCAGCAAGGCCCAGACGACUCAGCAUUCCCAGGGCUGCUGCACAUGUGCUGAUGAGACAGGCACCUGCAUCUUUAACUUUUGUGAAAGUUCUGUUCUGCAGUGGGGAUGAUGGUGUCUCAAAGCAAUAGACAUCAGGCAGUAACACGUAACCACCAGCAUCCAGGAGCAAUUUGUAAUGAUUGAGAAGAUCACAGUGACGAGGAAGAUGGACAGACCCACGGAGAAUUGUGGAGAUCAUUUAUACAAUGAAAUAGGAACAGUUUUCUAAGGGAUGAAAUAGGUAGGCAGUGAAUAAUGGUACUGCCUAAUACAUGUAAUCAAAAUAACAAAUUCCACACAACUAGGAUUAUUUCUGUGAUCUACAGUCUGUCCAUUCUGAGUGGGACCUGGAGCAGGAAGAGGGUCUGCCCCAGGUGCAGGCUGCGUUCAGGCAUCCCUGCCAUGUGCACCAUGUGUCGGCGGUGGAAAGUGAUGCAGAGAUGAGGUCAUGACAGUGGGGGAUUCUCAGUGCAGAGCCCUGGGGUUCUGCAACAAAGAGAAGCCAUUUGCAAUGAAGAACUGUGCAUCAUCAUCCCACUGUACCCUGGGAGGGAAGGAGUGUUUGAGAAUAAGUGACCAUGCAUCCAGGCCUUCUAUUAUGAGCUGGAUUCUGCCAGAGUCAUCAGUUCAUCAAGCCAGACAAGCAUCAUAAUAAUCUAUCACAAAAUGGAAAUGGAACAGCUGAGAUUGAGCCCAAGCAGAACCAGAGGGCAUGAGUACGCGGCAUGAUAGCCUUGUGUCCCUCGCUCAAUUCACACUGAUGGCCCUAUGGGGGUCCCAUAAAACAAACUGAGGGAAGGAAAAUAAAUUACCAAAGUUGAUCAACAGGUAGAUUAUCUCAGUAUAGCAGUCCAAGCUAAAAUGGACAGCUGGCUGCAUUGUAGCCAUAGUCAAGGGUAGCCUUGAAAGAUAGUGGUGACAUAAGACCUUCCCAAUGAGACGGCUUUACGUGAUGCACUUGAUCAUGCACUUUAUGUAGCAGGGAGAAUGGCCUGAGCAAAGACUAUGUAAAUAUUCAUGGGCAGUGACUACAAAUAACACUGGACUGGCUGGGCAGGGGCUGAAUGGCCUGGCCUAGCUAGGCAGGGUCUGUUAUAGAAAAAGACUGGAAGAUCACAAAGAGGCAAGAAGAAAAGUGAAGAUAUCCCUUACAGCCACACUCCGGAAUAAUCUAUAAGAAGGGAAAAGGUGAAAUUGACUCAAGAAAUGCUGAUGGAUGCAGGACCUAAGGUGGUGGGGGCUGGGAAGAUCAGUCACAAAAUCUCAGAUAAUAGAACCCAAAAGACAUCACUAUUUGAAGGAGACCAAGAAAUAGCAAGAACACUCACACCGGAAAAAAAUCAAUCACUGUAAUAUGUCUAUUGCAAUAAAAUUGAACUACCUUACAAAUGUUUUGAGAAUUAAGGGUAAAUUCUAAAAUACUUCUACGUGUUAGAAAGAAUAAAUGGAAACCAGGAACAGAAAACCAAACACUGCAUAUUCUCACUCAUAAGUGGGAGUUGAACAAUGAAAACACAUGGACACAGGGAGGGGAACAUCACACACCAGUGCCUGUCAGAGGCGGUGGGGAGAGGGGAGGGAGAGCAUUAGGACAAAUACCUAGUGCAUGCGGGGCUUAAAACCUAGAUGAUGGGUUGAUAGGCACAACAAACCACCAAGACACAUGUAUACCUAUGUAAUAAACCUGCACAUUCAGAACAGGUAUCCCAGAACUUAAAGUAAAAUGAAAUAAUAAAUA
Molecule: long non-coding RNA, 3525 nt
Filed under: Homo sapiens (human)
Lineage: Eukaryota; Metazoa; Chordata; Mammalia; Primates; Hominidae
Description: HSALNT0225270
Source: RNAcentral